CAGCCCCCGGCCCGCUGCUGUCUCUGACCAGCUUCAUCUUCAGCCCGCAGCAGCUGCAGCGACGGGAGCUGGUGCCUGGGGCAGACACUCACCCGCAGGCUCUCGGGCUGUUGGAGCAAAGGGGGGGCCCUGCCUUCGAGCCACAGUUAUUUGCAAUGCUGAAGUGAUUCUUUAGUACUCCUGGUAUCACAGCGCUGAGUUUUUACUACCGUGCAGCUCCAGUUAACAGGAGCAAAUGAACAUGCCCUUCGCUUAAACUCAUCAUUGUGCUGCAGAGGAAACAGACUGAGGAACAACGCUAAUAUCGAGCUGGGCAGGCGGACACUCAGACUUACAUACGCCACUUCCACUAUCAGGAGAAGUACUGACUGCUGGGUGUUUCUUGGCUGGUCGAUCCCAGCGUGUGAACCAGAAACAGCCCAGGAUGAAAACCAUGGCCACCGGGGGCUGUAGGUAGGAGCUGAUUGUCUGGAUAUAAAUGAAUAGCUGCCCCCCUUGGCUGGCCUGAACCAGUGGGAUCCACAGAAUAGACACCACCA
Trachemys scripta elegans is the source of this 539-nucleotide long non-coding RNA. RefSeq lists it as uncharacterized. The record is from RefSeq and is a predicted model, not a curated record. The transcript is spliced from 3 exons. NCBI's taxonomy places the organism in Eukaryota, Metazoa, Chordata, Testudines, Emydidae.